RNAcentral lists this ribosomal RNA (460 nucleotides) under uncultured bacterium. RNAcentral describes it as "partial 16S ribosomal RNA". It matches the Rfam family "Bacterial small subunit ribosomal RNA", at positions 338 to 795 of the family's 1533-position model. The record is from RNAcentral.
CCUACGGGUGGCAGCAGUGAGGAAUAUUGGUCAAUGGGCGAAAGCCUGAACCAGCCAAGUCGCGUGAGGGAUGAAUGUCCUAUGGAUUGUAAACUUCUUUUAUAAGGGAAUAAAGUGUGGCACGUGUCCUAUUUUGUAUGUACCAUAUGAAUAAGGAUCGGCUAACUCCGUGCCAGCAGCCGCGGUAAUACGGAGGAUCCGAGCGUUAUCCGGAUUUAUUGGGUUUAAAGGGAGCGUAGGUGGAUUGUUAAGUCAGUUGUGAAAGUUUGCGGCUCAACCGUAAAAUUGCAGUUGAAACUGGCAGUCUUGAGUACAGUAGAGGUGGGCGGAAUUCGUGGUGUAGCGGUGAAAUGCUUAGAUAUCACGAAGAACUCCGAUUGCGAAGGCAGUUCACUGGACUGCAACUGACACUGAGGCUCGAAAGUGUGGGUAUCAAACAGGAUUAGAUACCCGUGUAGUC